GACGAACGCUGGCGGCGUGCUUAACACAUGCAAGUCGAACGGUAAGGCCCUUCGGGGUACACGAGUGGCGAACGGGUGAGUAACACGUGGGUAAUCUGCCCUGCACUUCGGGAUAAGCCUGGGAAACUGGGUCUAAUACCGGAUAUUCAGUUCCUGCCGCAUGGUGGGGGUUGGAAAGUUUUUCGGUGCAGGAUGAGCCCGCGGCCUAUCAGCUUGUUGGUGGGGUAAUGGCCUACCAAGGCGACGACGGGUAGCCGGCCUGAGAGGGUGAUCGGCCACACUGGGACUGAGACACGGCCCAGACUCCUACGGGAGGCAGCAGUGGGGAAUAUUGCACAAUGGGCGAAAGCCUGUUGCAGCGACGCCGCGUGAGGGAUGACGGUCUUCGGAUUGUAAACCCCUUUCAGUAGGGACGAAGCGCAAGUGACGGUACCUGCAGAAGAAGCACCGGCCAACUACGUG
This 462-nucleotide ribosomal RNA is filed under the name uncultured bacterium. RNAcentral's name for it is "partial 16S ribosomal RNA". It matches the Rfam family "Bacterial small subunit ribosomal RNA", at positions 28 to 507 of the family's 1533-position model. The record is from RNAcentral.